CAGCAGCAGCCGCGGUAAUACGAAGGGUGCAAGCGUUACUCGGAAUUACUGGGCGUAAAGCGUGCGUAGGUGGUGGUUUAAGUCCGUUGUGAAAGCCCUGGGCUCAACCUGGGAAUGGCAGUGGAUACUGGCUCGCUAGAGUGUGUCAGAGGAUGGUGGAAUUCCCGGUGUAGCGGUGAAAUGCGUAGAGAUCGGGAGGAACAUCAGUGGUGAAGGCGGCCAUCUGGGACAACACUGACGCUGAGGCACGUAAGCGUGGGGAGCAAACAGGAUUAGAUACCCCCGUAGUCCCUGUCUCUUAUAC
Molecule: ribosomal RNA, 304 nt
Filed under: uncultured bacterium
Lineage: Bacteria
Description: partial 16S ribosomal RNA
Rfam family: Bacterial small subunit ribosomal RNA
Source: RNAcentral